ACAAGGUUUCCGUAGGUGAACCUGCGGAAGGAUCAUUGUCGAAACCUGCACAGCAGAACGACCCGCGAAUUGGUUACAACCGACGGGGGACAGGGGUCGCUCAUUGCCCCCUCGCCCCCCCUGCGGGCGGGGACCUCGCGUCUCCUGCCCGCAAACCGAACCCCGGCGCGGAACGCGCCAAGGAAAUCUAACCAAGAGAGCCAUGCCGGAGGCCCCGGACACGGUGCGCCCCCGGCGUCGGCGUCUUACGAAUUAUUCAAAACGACUCUCGGCAACGGAUAUCUAGGCUCUCGCAUCGAUGAAGAACGUAGCGAAAUGCGAUACUUGGUGUGAAUUGCAGAAUCCCGCGAAUCAUCGAGUUUUUGAACGCAAGUUGCGCCCGAAGCCAUUCGGCCGAGGGCACGUCUGCCUGGGUGUCACGCAUCGUUGCCCCCCCAAACUCCGGUUCGGGCGGGGCGGAAGUUGGCCUCCCGUGCGUGCCUGCGCGCGCGGUCAGCCCAAAAGYGAGUCCUCGGCGACGAGCGCCACGACAAUCGGUGGUUUUUUUGCCCUCGUUCCUCGUCGUGCGUGCCCCGUCGCUCGAACGCGCUCCUACGACCCUCACGCGUCGCUUCGGCGGCGCUC
RNAcentral lists this ribosomal RNA (624 nucleotides) under uncultured Quercus pubescens from ectomycorrhiza. RNAcentral's name for it is "eukaryotic LSU rRNA". The stretch from base 264 to 419 matches the Rfam family "5.8S ribosomal RNA". The record is from RNAcentral. Lineage: Eukaryota; Viridiplantae; Streptophyta; Magnoliopsida; Fagales; Fagaceae.